GCCCAAUGUGAUCAAUGUUAACUGUUCGGAACGGUAUGUGUAACACUUCUUGCAAGUAUAGUUCACCAAGAAGCAAUGUAGCAAUGUAUGUAUAUAGCCGCCCAUUUCGGUUCCAAAAUGUCCCGCUUUAUCGUGGUUGCACUUGGUUAGGCGCCAUCUGAUUGCUUGAGGUACCACUAACAUUUUUCCAUCAUCAUGUUUUCGGUACAAUCGCCGUUUAUAGAGUUUAAAUUCAACUCCACUGGUUACUGGAGUCCCAGUUUUCAAAAACCUCAAAGAUGUCUUUUAUUUUUAUGAGUAAAUCCAGUAUUCGUCGAUGAGAACUAUCAAUAUGUUGUCUGCUACGGUUAUUGUUUUGUCCCCCGGUAGAUGUACUGGAGUCCGACUCAUUCCGUCUACAUGAGGUAUUUGCUCUCCAGGCCGAUGUUUGCAUUUAAAGA
Long non-coding RNA from Drosophila biarmipes, 440 nucleotides. RefSeq lists it as uncharacterized. The transcript has 3 exons. Lineage: Eukaryota; Metazoa; Arthropoda; Insecta; Diptera; Drosophilidae. The record is from RefSeq and is a predicted model, not a curated record.